Molecule: non-coding RNA, 96 nt
Organism: Myotis lucifugus (little brown bat)
Lineage: Eukaryota; Metazoa; Chordata; Mammalia; Chiroptera; Vespertilionidae
Source: Rfam
UCUGGAGGACUAAGAAGGCUGAGUCUGAUGAAGUAAGACUCUGCUGAUACAAUCCUCCUAAAAGAAAAAAUAGUAGCCCGUGACUAUCUUAUAAAC